ACAUCAUCGCUCAUCUUUCCAUUGCCGGUUCCCUGACUAGAAUGUGAGUUUUGUUUGGUCCCUCCUGUGUCCCCAGAACUCAGCACUGUGUACUCGAUACAUCACUGUGCUGUAGGAAUGGAUGCUGGAAUGUUCUGCCACUGUGGAAAGGAAUGAGGAAGCUGACUCUGCACUGAUAGACAAUGAUUUCCGGGUUUUGUCGUCAUGUGGAAACAAAGCAAAGUACAAGAAUCUACAGCAUGCCAUAUUUUGUGUAAGAAAGAAGAAGAAAUAAGAAAAUGUUUGGGCUGGGUGUGGUGGCUCACACCUGUAAUCCCAGAAUUUUGGGAGGCAGAAGCGGGCAGAUCACCUGAGGUGAGAAGUUCGAGACAAGCCUGGCCAACGUGGCAAAGCCCCAUCUCUACUAAAAAUACAAAAAUUAGCUGGGAAUGGUGGCAGAUGCCUGUAAUCCCAGCUACUCAGGAGGCUGAGGCAGGAGAAUCACCUGAACCCGGGAGGUGGAGGUUGCAGUGAGCCAAGACCUAACCACUGCACUCCAGCCCAGGCUACAGAAUGAGACUUCAUCUCAAAAAAGAAAAAAAGAAAAUGUCUGUGGACUUGUCCAUUUUCGCAAAAGUAAGCAGAGGAAAGAAAAGGCAGAAAUUGAUGCAACGAGCCACGUAAUAAUGGGAGUUGCAGUCAGGGGGCAAUGGGGACAGGGAGAGUUGGGACGCUUUUCUGAGUGCCCCAUUUUGCAGAGUGUUGACCUUCAGGAACAUGUUAAUGUUCUACAUACUGAAAACAAGAAAAAGUCAACAAAGAUCAGGGUGGCAGGAGCCCUAAAUGGAAUGUAAACUGAAACAAGUGAACCUACCUGUAUUUCAAAUGAAUAAAGUAACCACAUUAAAGGGUAGUGGAGGAAGAGAACGACUCCAGAUAACUUUGAACGUAACACUUCCAUCAUAUAUACUCGGGCUAAACACAAAAGAACUGCAUCCAGUACUGAACUCUACCUAGAAGCCUUACUUUUUGUUUUUACAGUGACAUGGGCUGGAAAUUCUGAAAUGAACUUCCCUGUAUUGCUCAGUGUUGGAGAAGAGAUUUACAAGUAUGAAAAGGGAGAAUAUUAGAAUGAAUUCUAAUAUGUGGUGGCAGGGCACGGUGGCUCACACCUGUAAUCCCAGCAACUCUGGGAAGCCAAGGCAGGCAGAUCACCUGAGGUCAGGAGUUUGAGACCAGUCUAGCCAACAUGGUGAAACCCCAUCUCUGCUGAAAAUACAAAAAUUAGCCAGGUGUGGUGGCACAUGCCUGUAAUUCCAGCAGAGGUUGCAGUGAGCUGAGAUGGCGCCACUGCACUCCAGCCUGGGUGACAAGAGUGAAACUCCGUCUCAAAAAAAAAAAGAAUGAAUUCUGUGGUGCUGGAUUGAAAUUGUUUUAUAGAUAAUCAGUAGAAUAGACAGAAAAAUUUAAGUUGGCAUAUACAUGUAUAUGUGUGUGUAUGUAUUUUAUAUAUACAUAAUAUAUUAUAUAUGUAUUUUUUAUAUAUAUAUAUAUAUUUGUACUUAUACAUCUUGGUGUGUAUGUGGGUGUGUUUCUUGGUUCUGUCUGCUGCAGAGGCCUAGUAGCACUCCAGUAGCAAUGACUGCUCCUAGGACUCAGAUCGUGGUUUCUAAAAACCAUCCCCCAGUAAAAGGAAUCAAGGCUCCUUGGAGAAAUGGCCAUUUCCAGGAUACUGCAAGGGAAGUACAAGAUGAACCAGGGCAUCUGGUUGUGGCUUACUGCUCCUUGAGUAAGCAAGGAAGUGCUAAAAUAUGACAGGGAUAUCACGAAGGUCACAAAUGAGCCACCUUGAAAAAGUGCCCACUGGCCAAACUGGACUAAUUUGAGCAUCAAAAUAAUGAUUGUUAACAGAGUAUUCAUGGAAUCAAGUAAAUCCAUGCCUAUAUACAUUGAGAAAUGAAUAAACAAAUGGGAGAGAAGAGAAAGCUCUUCCACACAGCUGACUGCCAGCUAAUAAUCAAGGAGGGAGUGGAGUUACAAAAUUUCCAUUUUACAACUAUCAUAGCAAUCUCUUUGUAACUAUCAUAGGGAGGAACCAUCAAAGGAUGCUAAAAGCAGUGGGUAAAAGUUUGACAGGGAACAGGAUAUCCUCAUAGUCUGAAGGUGACUACCCACUAAUUACUUAGGAAUUAGGUUUAAGGGAAAAUAGGUUUACAAUACAGAAACCUUAACCAAGUAAUCAAAGUAAAAAUCAUCGAUAUUGGGAGUAAAUGGCAUCGUGCGCCUCUCGAUACAUUUGCUGCAGAAGCGACUCACUUCUGAGUUCUUCCUGCCAAAAAUGCACACUCUAAUGGUAAUCACGAGAAAACAUCAGACAAACCCCAACUGAGGGGCAUUCUGUAAAAUAACUGGCCUGUAUGGGCUGGGUGCAAUGGCUCACGCCUGUAAUCCCAGCACUUUGGGAGGCCGAGGGGGGUGGAUCACGAUGUCAGGAGUUUGAGACCAGCCUGACCAACAUGGUGAAACCCCGUCUCUACUAAAAAUACAAAAAUUAGCCGGGCGUGGUGGUGUGCACCUGUAAUCCCAGCUACUCAGGAGGCUGAGGCAGGAGAAUUGCUUGAAUCCAGGAGGCAGAGGUUGCAGUGAGCCAAGAUUGUGCCACGGCACUCCAGCCUGGGCGACAGAGCAAGACUCUGUCUCAAAAUAAA
RNAcentral lists this long non-coding RNA (2687 nucleotides) under Homo sapiens (human). RNAcentral's name for it is "non-protein coding lnc-TEPP-2:2". Lineage: Eukaryota; Metazoa; Chordata; Mammalia; Primates; Hominidae. The record is from RNAcentral.